RNAcentral lists this ribosomal RNA (74 nucleotides) under Flammeovirga yaeyamensis. RNAcentral's name for it is "partial 16S ribosomal RNA". It matches the Rfam family "Bacterial small subunit ribosomal RNA", at positions 1460 to 1533 of the family's 1533-position model. The record is from RNAcentral. Lineage: Bacteria; Pseudomonadati; Bacteroidota; Cytophagia; Cytophagales; Flammeovirgaceae.
GGGCAAAACAAAUAACUGGGGCUAAGUCGUAACAAGGUAGCCGUACCGGAAGGUGCGGCUGGAACACCUCCUUU